AUCACAAGCUGUGAAGCCCACGGCAUCGGUAUUUUUGUCUUCUCCUGGAAGGUCCACUUUAACCGUUCUGCACAUUAACAGCUUGAAGGGUGGAAGACCCACCAGGCUAAAGUGUGAGCCUGUGACAGUCCACGGAUGUUCAACAAUUUGAAGGACCAGAAAAUCAAAUAGUUACUCCAACUGAAGAGGGGGCAAGUGAAAAAGACAGAAUUUACAUGGGGAGAGUCUGCACCCUGGAGACAUGAGAUCUGCAAGAAAUAAAUUUAACCUAGAAACUAAGUUUGCUUUGAGAAAUUGUGAGGUCUAGUUGGCUUGUCAACCAUGAAAUCAUCUGAACUUAUCUGUUUGGAUCUACUUCCCAAUUGCUACUAUAGACAGAUGGACCAGAAAAGGCCAUGUACAAAGACAAAGUGUGUAUGAAAAUUUAUGAAUAAUGAUUCAAGAUUUAAAGGUAAGGAAUUGAAUUAUACUCUCAUAUAAUUUUUUUAUUUUUUUCUUUUGAGACAGUCUCAGUCUGUUGCCAGGGUAGAGUUAGUGCC
Non-coding RNA from Microcebus murinus (gray mouse lemur), 539 nucleotides. The record is from RefSeq and is a predicted model, not a curated record. NCBI's taxonomy places the organism in Eukaryota, Metazoa, Chordata, Mammalia, Primates, Cheirogaleidae.